GCACUACUGAGGAGUCCCAUACUAGGACGAAACGGCCGUCCAAUAC
Molecule: non-coding RNA, 46 nt
Organism: Schistosoma mattheei
Lineage: Eukaryota; Metazoa; Platyhelminthes; Trematoda; Strigeidida; Schistosomatidae
Source: Rfam